This 88-nucleotide ribosomal RNA is filed under the name Sphingobacteriales bacterium. Lineage: Bacteria; Pseudomonadati; Bacteroidota; Sphingobacteriia; Sphingobacteriales. The record is from RNAcentral.
GUCCCACCUCUUUCCAUUCCGAACAGAGAAGUUAAGCUCCAUAGCGCCGAUGGUACUGCCCUUAGGGUGGGAGAGUAGGUCGUCGCCA